Pomacea canaliculata is the source of this 489-nucleotide long non-coding RNA. RefSeq lists it as uncharacterized. NCBI's taxonomy places the organism in Eukaryota, Metazoa, Mollusca, Gastropoda, Architaenioglossa, Ampullariidae. The record is from RefSeq and is a predicted model, not a curated record. The transcript is spliced from 3 exons.
UGUUCGUAGGUGAAUUGCCUCCUGCUUCAUCUGAACCUGCAGACCAGUCAUCAUGCGAGUCCUUCUCAUCCUUUUGGUCGGCCUGCUCGUCGUGGGGGAGGGGACGUGCGUGUUUCUUGAUUUGUAUAAGGAAAGGUCAAUGCCGUCUGAGCGUUCUCUCUCAAUAGGAGAUAGGAAAGCCCCUGUCAUCGUAAAGCCAGCUCCGCCUAGUGGAUCGCGACUUGGCCGUAAACGUCGUUAGGCCAGGAAGACUUCCUUGCCGUCACCAGCGACCUGACUUAGUCGUGGAGGUCACCACAAUUCAGUCAGCUGAUUGAUGUAAUUUUUUUCCUGCUCUUUCUACUUAUUUUUUUUUCUCGAAAAGCAAGAACGAUGUUCAAGAAAAUAAUCUCUUAAAACAUUUGUUUCUACAAAGUGAACUGUUUUUAUCCACUAUGAUACUGCCAGGGAUUCUUUCAAAAUAUCUUGAUAAUAAAAACGUCAGAUGUU